UACGUAGGGGGCAAGCGUUGUCCGGAUUCAUUGGGCGUAAAGAGCUCGUAGGCGGCUUGUCGCGUCGUCCGUGAAAACCCACAGCUCAACUGUGGGCUUGCGGUCGAUACGGGCAGGCUAGAGUUCGGUAGGGGAGACUGGAAUUCCUGGUGUAGCGGUGAAAUGCGCAGAUAUCAGGAGGAACACCGGUGGCGAAGGCGGGUCUCUGGGCCGAUACUGACGCUGAGGAGCGAAAGCGUGGGUAGCAAACAGG
RNAcentral lists this ribosomal RNA (253 nucleotides) under uncultured bacterium. RNAcentral describes it as "partial 16S ribosomal RNA". It matches the Rfam family "Bacterial small subunit ribosomal RNA", at positions 524 to 776 of the family's 1533-position model. The record is from RNAcentral.